CUCUGCAUCUCUGUCCAUCCCAAACAUACAUAAGUUUGACAGGUGCUCUUCAAACAUAUGAUUGUCUUAGAGACUGUUGAAGCACAAUUAAAUUUGGAAGCCUUUGUAUCAUAUGAAUAUGGCUGUAGGCCUACUUGACUGUUGUUUGUGGUGGUGUUUUUAAUAUAUUUCGCAUAUUAAAAAUAAUAUGUGAAGUAUAUUAAUGACAGAAGAGGACAUUGUCGAGUCAUCCUCUUUACUAUUUUGCUCUUUACAUUGUAAAUAGGAAAAAAAAAGAUGAGUACUGACUAGUUCAUUUGGAAUGAAAUAAAUGCACAUUUUUAUCUGAUGUCA
This is a long non-coding RNA of Quercus robur (English oak), 333 nucleotides long. RefSeq lists it as uncharacterized. The record is from RefSeq and is a predicted model, not a curated record. The transcript has 2 exons. Lineage: Eukaryota; Viridiplantae; Streptophyta; Magnoliopsida; Fagales; Fagaceae.